Molecule: long non-coding RNA, 409 nt
Filed under: Drosophila melanogaster (fruit fly)
Lineage: Eukaryota; Metazoa; Arthropoda; Insecta; Diptera; Drosophilidae
Description: antisense RNA:CR45466 (Dmel_CR45466)
Source: RNAcentral
UAUCACAUUUGAAACGACAACUACAAAAAAAUAUGUAAAAAAAAUGACUAAAACAGACCACAAUGAAGAAUUAAAUGCACAACAACGCGACGUCAACAACAAAUGGAAGAGGCGAAAGAAGAAAUAGCCACGCCGAACGAAAAGAAGAAGAGCACCGCGCAGAAAGACACAGAGAGAGGGAUAGAAAGAGAAGUCGCAAGAGAAAUGCGAAAAAACCGCGAAUACAAUUUACAAAUAGCGAAUUACAGAAAAUAAGUCUAAAAAUAUAAAUAAAAUCGCUUGCUAGCUCCACCAAGCGACGCUUUUUAACUGACGCUACGUCAACGACCAAAGCCCCACGAAGGCAGCGACGUCGACAGAGCGGCGACGACGCCCCCAUCAACGUAUGCUGUUCUUUUGUGCUUUAUUU